RNAcentral lists this small nucleolar RNA (201 nucleotides) under Castor canadensis (American beaver). RNAcentral describes it as "Small nucleolar RNA SNORA73 family (ENSCCNG00000023875.1)". It matches the Rfam family "Small nucleolar RNA SNORA73 family". From Rfam's summary of the family: U17 (SNORA73A and SNORA73B) also known as E1 belongs to the H/ACA class of small nucleolar RNAs (snoRNAs). Vertebrate U17 is intron-encoded and ranges in length from 200-230 nucleotides, longer than most snoRNAs. The record is from Rfam by way of RNAcentral. Lineage: Eukaryota; Metazoa; Chordata; Mammalia; Rodentia; Castoridae.
CCAACAUAGAUACCCAGGGAGGUCACUCUCCCUAGGCUCCGUCCAAGUGGCACACGGGAGCAUAGGGCUCUGCCCCCUGAUUUACGGUCCCUUUCCACAAUAUUGGGGAAGCUGGGCCUUGAGUCUGCGCCUGCAAGUUCCUACGACUUCUCAGAGUCCUGUGGACAAUGACUGAGGAGACAAACCAUGCAGGAAACCCUG